This 254-nucleotide ribosomal RNA is filed under the name uncultured bacterium. RNAcentral describes it as "partial 16S ribosomal RNA". It matches the Rfam family "Bacterial small subunit ribosomal RNA", at positions 524 to 776 of the family's 1533-position model. The record is from RNAcentral.
UACGUAGGCAGCGCGCGUUGUUCGGAGUUACUGGGCGUAAAGGGUGUGUAGGCGGUUGUUUAAGUUUGGUGUGAAAUCUCCCGGCUCAACUGGGAGGGUGCGCCGAAUACUGAAUGACUUGGAGUGCGGGAGAGGAGAGUGGAAUUCCUGGUGUAGCGGUGAAAUGCGUAGAUAUCAGGAGGAACACCGGUGGUGUAGACGGCUCUCUGGACCGUAACUGACGCUGAGACACGAAAGCGUGGGUAGCAAACAGG